UAUUUAGCAAAUGUAACAUCACCCCGGGGUCAAUGCUUCGCAUGUUAGCUGGUGUCCAAGUGAAGACAUCAACAUUUUUCUGCAAAAAAGAAGUGAGACGAUCUUUGGUUACCUGAUCCAAGCUAAACCCAACCUGAACUGUAUGUUUUUCAUUCCAGUCAUUCAAUGUGAUCAUCUCAAGGUCUCCCAUUGGUUCCCCAUGCUCUUCGGUUAGCUUAUCACGGGUGUCCAGUCUGUCAAUGAUGCAUGCAUCAAAAAGCUUGGUUCUCUAGAGAACGAGGGUGUAACAUUACCAUGCUAGGGCUUGGUCACCUUGAAUCUCCUUGAAGCCAAACUCCAUUGGAAAUUUCACCUUCAGGUGGUACAUAGAUACCACAGCUCGGAAUGUAUUCAAUCCUGGUUGUCCAAGGACGAUAUUGUAAUCUGAUAGUGUCUGAACCAUGAAAAAAUUAACUUGGGCC
This 461-nucleotide long non-coding RNA is filed under the name Elaeis guineensis (African oil palm). RNAcentral's name for it is "long non-coding RNA (EGUI_LNC018778)". Lineage: Eukaryota; Viridiplantae; Streptophyta; Magnoliopsida; Arecales; Arecaceae. The record is from RNAcentral.